RNAcentral lists this long non-coding RNA (2534 nucleotides) under Salmo trutta (river trout). RNAcentral describes it as "lncRNA (ENSSTUG00000017834.1)". Lineage: Eukaryota; Metazoa; Chordata; Actinopteri; Salmoniformes; Salmonidae. The record is from RNAcentral.
UCAGACAACUGCCGAGCUGCAUAUGUGUCUGUUUAUUGUGUAGGCCUAGGCGUACUGUAACAUAAGGGAAUUUUUCAUAUCUUCCCUGCAAAACAUCCGCACAAGCAUGUCAACAACAUAUUUAGGGUAUUUCUUUCUACUUAACGAUGUGAUACACCGCCAAUGAAUUCCCUUUUUGCUUCGAACAAGUUCCUCUGAACUUCGCCCUUGCAGCAUCACAGUGCUUCCUGCCACCGGCGCGUGAACAUCUUGCAGGUUCAUUUUAGUCUCAUAAUAGCCUAUUGUGAAACACAGCCAGUCGCACGGUGCAGAAAGUCAGUGUAGCAUUGGAAGAUGUUGCGAUUGCUGUUUCUGUGUCUGAUUGUUACUCUGCGAGGAGCUGCUGCUUCCUCAGAGGAGGAGAGUGAAGGAUCAGCAGACGCAGCAGAUGGAGAUGAUGAAGACCUAAUCAAGCAAAACUUGAGCCCAAAUCGCAGGCAAGAUUCCACGCUUAUCAAACCUGAAACUGAUGAUACUGUGGACACAAACAAGGCAACAGGAGAAAAACAAGCGGAAGAUGGAUUUACUACCAUUGUCAUCAUCGUAGCCGUGAGUGUGGUGGCACUGUCAAUCGCAGUGAUAGUAGCCAUAGUGCUGGUCCGGCGCCGCAUGCACAACCGACCACAAGGGACCUACUCAGUGCCCGCAGAACAGGGAAUGAAAGGAACGGUCUAACCACAGGAUGAGCUCCAGUCCCAUUGGACACCUGCAGGGGAGGACCAAUGAACUGAGCUCUACAACAUACUGCCCUUUGACCCAGGAAGGGUACACUUUCCACCCCAGCCUGCUCUUACUGAACCAUUCCCUACUGCUCUCCUCUCUGAGACCAUCUGUUACUGUGUCAUGGGUGCCCUCCAAAGGAAACUUAGUUUCCUUUAUUUGGUCUCUUGUUUGUUUCUGUCCCACAUAUCCCAAAGUAUGUGUGUAUAUUUAAAAGGGCAUUCUGCAGUUGCUGCUUUUGUCCAAUGUUAUAUUUUACAAGAAAAACAAAUAUCCCGCUAGAAGUCAUUUGCAAUUGUUUCGACAGGUUUCUCCGCUCCGUCGCUAAACUAAACUGUAUUCAGAGAUGAUUUGGUGCAUUCAGAACAGGCUUUUUUGAAUGAGAAAAGCGAGUUUAAUCCACCCUAAACCAGUCCAGUCCUCACUAAAUUUCCCUGUUCAGCUCUGUGACAUAUCCUGUCCUUGGCCUAUUAGUGACAACAGCCAAUACAGUUGAAAGAUAAAGCUUGUUCUCCCGUCUUCUCAACCUCUGAAGGGGAAAAAGGAAAAGAAAUGGGUGGAAAAAGCCAGAGGUCUGAGAUGGAAUUAAUCAACCUUUGUGAAUGAUGAUGUUUUCUUUUCAACAUCCCCCUUCUCUUUUUCUUUUUGAAAUGCUUCCUUUCAAAACGUCAACCACAUCACUGAUUGUAGAUAGCUCUUGGAUGGCUGAGGAAUGUCUGAUUUUAAUGGUUUAUAGUGCUGGGAUGGGGGUAUGGUGGGGAGAAAUUGAGAGGAUAGUGCGGGGGUUGGGGGGUGAGUGGGGAAAUACCCACGAUGCCCAUGUUUCAUUCAUACUGAGUAUAAGGCCACUCCACCAUCGCUCCCUGGCUCUCUUUUCAUUUAAAUGGAAAUCAAUCGUGCCCCGUGAACAAAAGCUUUAGGGCCGAGGUGCUGGCUGGCUUAUUUCUUACUCUGCAUUACAGAGAAAGGACUUUUUUUGGGCAGUGGUCAGAGGAGAGGGGGAGUUGGACAUGAUGUGCUUUGGCAUGACAGGGCUAUUCAUUUGUUGCGUUAUCAUGAGGGAACAAGGGUUGUUGUGAGUGUGUGCGAAUUACACCCAAGAUCAAGUAGUGUUGAAAUCACUGGGUCUGUCAAAACAGCGUGCGCAUUGUCUUUCUCCACUCAACCUUACCGCUGUGAUGUCAUCAGCUGGGGAUGGGCUUGGCUGGGUUCCAGACUGUACAGAAACACCUGUGUUAUUAGUGUCUCCAUCACAUUUUGUGUUCUCUGGUUCACUCAAUCAGAAUUGUCCCAAUCUGUUUAAGUUGACGAAAUUCAAUUAGUAAACCGAUUCUAAAUGCAUACAGUGUGGUAUGUGUGUGUCUGCACUCUGCAGGUGUUUGCGUUUGGGGAGAUUGUGUAUGUGGGGUUUGUGUUUGGGGAGAUUGUGUAUGUGGGGUUUGUGUUUGGGGAGAUUGUGUAUGUGGGGUUUGAUUGAAGCAUCACAACUAGCCCAGUAAGCCUGAGAUGUCAUCUAGCUCUGACAGCAUUUCAAAAUGAGUAUAAUUUGACAUACAGUAAAAGAACAAAAUAACUUUCACUUUCUGUUUGUUUACUGACCACAGUCACAUUCAAGAAAGCCUUUUUCCCGUACUCAGAAAUACCCUUAGAAAUUCCCUUCACCUACAAAGUAGACGUUGUGGUUACCAGUCAGCGACUAGUCUCACUAUAAGAUGAGGUUUGCAUAGAACAGUUUUUCUUGUUUGCGAUACAAAGUACAUCUAAGAACCAUUCAA